GCUAGUGAAUCUGCUAGUGAAUCUGCUACUGCACCUACUGGUAAGACCACAGCUGCUGACGCAGGUGGUAACUGAAUCAGGUUCGUCAAGACUUACGGCGCGCGAAGUUUUUUCAUAUGAAGAAGGACUCAAACAACCAAGUAUAUUAUGUGUGUAUAUAUAUAAUAAUAAAUAU
This is a non-coding RNA of Spodoptera litura, 175 nucleotides long. Lineage: Eukaryota; Metazoa; Arthropoda; Insecta; Lepidoptera; Noctuidae. The record is from RefSeq and is a predicted model, not a curated record.